RNAcentral lists this ribosomal RNA (316 nucleotides) under uncultured bacterium. RNAcentral describes it as "bacterial SSU rRNA". It matches the Rfam family "Bacterial small subunit ribosomal RNA", at positions 28 to 334 of the family's 1533-position model. The record is from RNAcentral.
GACGAACGCUGGCGGCGCGCCUAACACAUGCAAGUCGAACGGAGUUGUGUUGAAAGCUUGCUGGAUAUACAACUUAGUGGCGGACGGGUGAGUAACACGUGAGUAACCUGCCUCUCAGAGUGGAAUAACGUUUGGAAACGAACGCUAAUACCGCAUAUGCCUAAGUACCACAUGGUACAAUAGGGAAAGGAGCAAUCCGCUGAUAGAUGGGCUUGCGUCUGAUUAGAUAGUUGGUGGGGUAACGGCCUACCAAGUCGACGAUCAGUAGCCGGACUGAGAGGUUGAACGGCCACAUUGGGACUGAGAUACGGCCCAG